This 728-nucleotide long non-coding RNA is filed under the name Aphidius gifuensis. RNAcentral's name for it is "uncharacterized LOC122858984, transcript variant X2". The record is from RNAcentral. Lineage: Eukaryota; Metazoa; Arthropoda; Insecta; Hymenoptera; Braconidae.
UCGAUAAGCUUGUAGGGGAAAUCAACAGAAUAUUAUUAUUAUUAUUAUUUCUAUUAUUAUUUGAAGAUAAAAAUUGAUAUUUUUUUUUUUAAAUUAAAGGUCAUAUCAGUUAACAGCAUUUAACAAAACACAGUCAUGUUCAUUCUCAAGAGUCAAGAUUUUUACUUUGAUUAAGCUUGACGACAAUUCAUCGUUCCACAGUCUACAAUAUCCUAUAUUCCUAUACUCAUUGGAUUGAUAUAAAAAACGAAAAUAAAAAGAAGCAAUUCUACCGACCGGUUUCUAUUAUAAUUAUUAUUGAAUUUCGAGUAAAUUUCUUGGCUCUUGGUAUCGUCAAGCAACAUAAUAUAUACUCCAAAAAUAAUAUUGAAGAAGCAACAGAAGCUGCUUUCUACAUAUUACAAUUUAUCAUUAUUUUUUUUUCAAUUAAAUUUGAUAAUAAAUAUCAAUUUUUUUAUCAACAGUAAUUAUUUUUUGUAAUUUGUUAUGAGUGAAGAAUCUCUACCAUCUACGAAUGGAGGAAAUGAAGAGCAUGUUGAAUCACAUGGAAUACUAUCAAAGUAUUUCAAAUGGGUACGAUAUGUUUCGGUGGAACCAACAAUGUGGCUUUACAUGAUGGCCUUUAUGACAACAACUGUUAUUGAACAGUCACUUUUCAGCUACAAAGCAUGCAGAGUUGAUCAUAAUUUAACUGAAGAAAUAUGUAGAAAUCUUACAGCAAAUAACGC